UACAGAGGUGCCAAGCGUUGUUCGGAUUUACUGGGCGUAAAGGGUGCGUAGGCGGCCAGACAAGUCGGAUGUGAAAUCCCGGAGCUUAACUCCGGAAUGGCAUCCGAAACUGUCUGGCUCGAGGUCUGGAGAGGUGACUGGAAUGCUCGGUGUAGCAGUGAAAUGCGUAGAUAUCGAGUAGAACACCAGAGGCGAAAGCGGGUCACUGGACAGAUUCUGACGCUGAGGCACGAAAGCCAGGGGAG
This 245-nucleotide ribosomal RNA is filed under the name uncultured bacterium. RNAcentral describes it as "partial 16S ribosomal RNA". It matches the Rfam family "Bacterial small subunit ribosomal RNA", at positions 524 to 768 of the family's 1533-position model. The record is from RNAcentral.